CAUUGCUCAAAACCAAUUACAAAUAUAAACAACAUAUAGAGCCGGUCUUGAUUUGGCGACUCGUUCGGAGAAAUUCCCCUUUGUUCUUUGUCUAGAUCCAAGCAGGACUUGACAAUAGGGCGGAGGCGGUUGCGACGGCUCAAUGACGAGGAGGGCGGCGGCGUGAGCAGCGAGAGGAGGAGCGUGUGGGGCUGAAAGAAUUAGGCGGUAGCAUAGGUUGGAAAUUUCGUGCGGAGCAGGUAAGAUAAGAUUACCCAAUGUCCCAAUCUACAUAACUAAAAAAAAAAAGAACAGAUGCAUUUUAGUACUUGGAUCGAAAGACGUCUUCGGUUUUCUUCCCCACGCGACCUUUGCGAUGAAAAUAUGCGAGAAAAGCCUC
Molecule: long non-coding RNA, 379 nt
Filed under: Brachypodium distachyon (stiff brome)
Lineage: Eukaryota; Viridiplantae; Streptophyta; Magnoliopsida; Poales; Poaceae
Description: long non-coding RNA (BDIS_LNC004537)
Source: RNAcentral